UUUAAAUAAUGAUAAUUUUUUUUUUUCUUGUACCUUAGUGAGAGUAGAUUUAUGAACAAAGCACAAUAGACAUUUUGGAUUGAACUAAAAUAAAUGUCUAAAUUUAGAGUCCUAGAUUAUUACGGAUCAAUUUUUAUUGCUUAAUGAAACUCAAAAUGUUGAAGAAAUAUUUGCAUAAAUACAUUGUAUUUUGGGAUUUUUGAUCAACUUUACAUCUUAAAGGAAAUUAAUUGUUUGCUUCUAUAAAUGGAAUCUCCACAAUGCGAGAGAAAUAUUGGACUUGUCUAUUGGACCUUAAAGUGGCCCAUGGGUGAAAUGAGUUUUUUACUAUUGUCGACAAUACUAACAAGUAACAAUGUUGAAGUAAUUAAAAAUAUAUAUAUUUCUUUAAGAUAAAUUAAUUUUUAUAAUUCAUUGGACUUCCCAUGCUAAAUGACAAUAAUCCGAAGGUGUUUAUUAUAUUUAUCUAUUGAGAUAUCAAUUUAUCUUGGGUAUUGGGAAAAAAAAUUAUCAUAAGCAUUGUAACUUUUUAUAGAAAUAUUAUAUUUUAAUUUACUGAUAUUCUUAUUGGAGUUCCGUGGAGAGCGUAGAUUGAUUCUUUUAUAAUGCAGCCUAGAUAAUAUUAAAAAAAUAAUUUAAAAAGUGAUUAACCGUUUACCAUCCCAAUAAAAAUAUUGGUUAGUUUUUACGUGUAGUGUACUAGUCGUAUAUUUAAUAUUCAAAAUAUGAACAUUGAAGAAAUUAAGAAGUUUCCAUUAUCCCAUUAAGAAGUUGUAAGCGUGAUUGGGGUGCACUCUAAAAUUAUAGCCAUAAUUUCGUUUUCAUAUUGCAAGACAAUCAUUUUCUCUUUUGACUUUGGCUAAGAUAUUGCGCCGCUGUGGAAUAUGCUCUAGUGUGUAUAUCUCACUAAGUUUUUGUGCUGUUACUUUUUAUAUUGGACGGAUAAGGCCCUAUAAUUGCAGUCACUCAACCACACAGCAUGUGUUGUUGGAAUGCAAUGCUUUGAGCAUGACAAGAUUGACUGCAUUUUAGAUUUGAUGUCUUGAAGGGGUGCGUUUAUAGUAGAUAUCAAAGGUCCAAAAUGAUGCCCAAACAUUUUGAUUCUUUUUAGAGCAUGUAAAGAAGAGAUAAUAAUUGGGGUUUGUUUGUGUGCUUCUUCCUCUUUGCACCUUUGAGCCUUUGAGGCUGUUGCAUUGUUUUUUUCUUCAAAAAAAGAUUAUGCAAUUACAAGAAAUCCAUUGCUUGGAUAUUUUCAAAUAUUGUAAAAUGGAUACAAAAACUCUUUUGAUUACAGAGGGCUAUUCGAAUUUUAAAACUAGGGUAUUGUAACUUCAAAACUCUUUAUGGACAUGAUGAGAAAUAAAGUUGUUAAGAAUUAUUUACUUUUAUUUUUAGCACCAAACACUUAAUAAGAUUUAUUUUCGGUUAUUUAGAUAUUUUUCGAAAUCUAAAUUUCUACUUUAAAAAUCACUUAUUUUAAGUAUCAAGUUAUAUAUAUAUAUAAAAAAGGUUAAAAUAUCUACUAAUUGUAAACAAAUCAAAUUAAGUGUUAAAUGAUACAAACAAGUCCUUAAUAAUGAUUCUAUUUUUGUAAGAUCAACCAUUACAAACGGCUUCUUAAAAGCAUCAACAACUCUCUCAAGUACAAAAUUUCUUUUGGUGGCUAUAGCUAGUAAUGUCUCUUUCUCAUCAUUACAAUUGCAUGUUAAUCAUUGUUAAAUCUUGUUCUAUAAUUUUUAAUCUUGGCCAUGUUUGUUAGAGAAUAAUAGGGGCCUAGAAACUAGAUAUGUGUGGUGUCCUUUUCAAGCCCAUUUUUACGUUAAGGUCAAAAAUCAAUUUCUGAGAAAUGAGAGGCGCUUUUAAUAGUGGCUGAGGAGAGAUGAUUCUGAGUUCUCUUUUGGGCCUAGGCCCCGUCGUGUCAUUAU
This 1925-nucleotide long non-coding RNA is filed under the name Citrus x clementina. Its description in RNAcentral is "Citrus clementina (C. clementina) long non-coding RNA (CCLE_LNC006270)". Lineage: Eukaryota; Viridiplantae; Streptophyta; Magnoliopsida; Sapindales; Rutaceae. The record is from RNAcentral.